AACGAACGCUGGCGGCAGGCUUAACACAUGCAAGUCGAACGCCCUAGCAAUAGGGAGUGGCAGACGGGUGAGUAACACGUGGGAACGUGCCUUUUGGUUCGGAACAACUCCGGGAAACUGGAGCUAAUACCGGAUAAGCCCUUCGGGGGAAAGAUUUAUCGCCAAAAGAUCGGCCCGCGUCUGAUUAGCUAGUUGGUGGGGUAAUGGCCCACCAAGGCGACGAUCAGUAGCUGGUCUGAGAGGAUGGCCAGCCACACUGGGACUGAGACACGGCCCAGACUCCUACGGGAGGCAGCAGUGGGGAAUAUUGGACAAUGGGCGCAAGCCUGAUCCAGCCAUGCCGCGUGAGUGAUGAAGGCCUUAGGGUUGUAAAGCUCUUUCGCCGAGGACGAUAAUGACGGUACUCGGAUAAGAAGCCCCGGCUAACUUCGUG
This 433-nucleotide ribosomal RNA is filed under the name uncultured organism. Its description in RNAcentral is "bacterial SSU rRNA". It matches the Rfam family "Bacterial small subunit ribosomal RNA", at positions 29 to 507 of the family's 1533-position model. The record is from RNAcentral.